ACCGCAGUGGAUGCCUCUGG
Molecule: unclassified non-coding RNA, 20 nt
Filed under: Mus musculus (house mouse)
Lineage: Eukaryota; Metazoa; Chordata; Mammalia; Rodentia; Muridae
Description: oocyte_clustered_small_RNA12278
Source: RNAcentral